Molecule: ribosomal RNA, 490 nt
Filed under: uncultured bacterium
Lineage: Bacteria
Description: partial 16S ribosomal RNA
Rfam family: Bacterial small subunit ribosomal RNA
Source: RNAcentral
GAUGAACGCUGGCGAUAGGCUUAACACAUGCAAGUCGAGGGGCAGCAUGGUCUUAGCUUGCUCAGACUGAUGGCGACCGGCGCACGGGUGCGUAACGCGUAUGCAACUUGCCCCACAGAGGGGGAUAACCCGUCGAAAGACGGACUAAUACCGCGUAAACUCCAUCUUGGGCAUCCAAGGUAGAGGAAAUGAAAUUCGCUGUAAGAUAAGCAUGCGUCCCAUUAGCUAGUUGGUGAGGUAACGGCUCACCAAGGCGACGAUGGGUAGGGGAACUGAGAGGUUGAACCCCCACACUGGUACUUGGACACGGACCAGACGCCUGCGAGAGGCAGCAGUGAGGAAUAUUAGGCAAUGGGCGAGAGCCUGAACCAGCCAAGUCGCGUGAAGGAUGACUGUCUUAUGGAUUGUAAACUUCUUUUAGACUGGAAUAACUAUAGUCACGGGUGACUCCCUGCAUGUACCGUAUGAAUAAGCAUCGGCUAACUCCGUG